This 253-nucleotide ribosomal RNA is filed under the name uncultured bacterium. Its description in RNAcentral is "partial 16S ribosomal RNA". It matches the Rfam family "Bacterial small subunit ribosomal RNA", at positions 524 to 776 of the family's 1533-position model. The record is from RNAcentral.
UACGUAGGGUGCAAGCGUUGUCCGGAAUUAUUGGGCGUAAAGGGCGCGUAGGCGGCCAUGCGCGUCUUCCGUGAAAUCCCUCGGCUUAACUGAGGACGUGCGGAAGAAACUGCAAGGCUCGAGUCCGGGAGAGGGGGGUGGAAUUCCCAGUGUAGCGGUGAAAUGCGUAGAUAUUGGGAGGAACACCGGUGGCGAAGGCGGCCCCCUGGACCGGUACUGACGCUGAGGCGCGAAAGCGUGGGUAGCAAACGGG